This 349-nucleotide non-coding RNA is filed under the name Pan troglodytes (chimpanzee). The record is from RNAcentral. Lineage: Eukaryota; Metazoa; Chordata; Mammalia; Primates; Hominidae. RNAcentral also lists the same sequence under 1 other name.
CCACUGUGGUGGAAUGUCUACGGGAAACUGAUGCCUCCCUCAGCCGGAGAGCCCUGGAACUAAGCCUGGCUCUGGUAAAUAGCUCCAAUGUGCGAGCCAUGAUGCAAGAGCUGCAGGCCUUUCUGGAGUCCUGCCCUCCUGACCUACGGGCUGACUGUGCCUCAGGCAUCCUGCUGGCUGCAGAGAGGUGAGGUGCCCAGGAGUCGAAGAGGGUAGAAUCUGGGGAGCGUCAGUACCAGGACUGAUGAGCCAUAUAUCCCCUAGGUUUGCUCCAACCAAACGCUGGCACAUAGACACCAUCCUGCAUGUGCUGACAACGGCGGGCACCCAUGUGCGGGAUGAUGCAGUG